This is a long non-coding RNA of Arachis stenosperma, 1089 nucleotides long. RefSeq lists it as uncharacterized. The transcript is spliced from 2 exons. NCBI's taxonomy places the organism in Eukaryota, Viridiplantae, Streptophyta, Magnoliopsida, Fabales, Fabaceae. The record is from RefSeq and is a predicted model, not a curated record.
UCGGUUUAACCGAAUUAAUUAGAAACCGAUCAUUCAUUCGGUUAGUUCGAGUGAUGAUGAAAACUGCGUUGCAAAAAAUUGGUCUAAGAAUCGACUGAAUCGGUGAUUACCAAUGAAUUGCCGAAAUCGAUCGAAUUUUUUUUAUCAAUAAAACUCCACAUCUAAGUGAUUUACCAAUCAAGUUUAAUCAAAUCCAUUAGAUUCCCGGGAUCCUUUUUCAUGCUUUCUUCUUCUUCUUCUUCACGCGUGACGCUACGUCUGCUUCUUGGAUCUAUUUAGUUGAACUUAGGAUAACAGUAAUAUUCGUAGCAAAUUGUUUUUUGAGAGUGACGGAUACGGCGCCGUUUUGAAUUUCAAAAAAAAAAAUUUCAGAAAUGCCCAAUACCCAACCCACCCCACUCUCUCUCUCUGAAGAACCCAACCCAAUACCCCAAACCUCCUUCGAAGUUCGAAUGCAGCCCGCAGCCACCAUCCAUCUUCAAAGUCAUCGCCGAACUUUUCUCCUCCGGUAGAGGGUGCUGUCGCCGCCGGCGGGGACAGACCGUGGGUGCCGCGUCGCGUGUGGAAGCUCUGCUCGUCCUGGUUCCUCUCCUGUCAUCGCAGGAAGGUCUGCGUGAGCUCGGGGCGUCGCCGUCGCGAAGGGUUGGUCGGUCGUGGUCUCUUCGAGCUCUCUCUCUCUCUCCCUGUCUUUGUCCGAGCUCAACGUCCCUCUUCGAUCUCUCUCUCGCUCUCUGUCCGAGCUCUCUUUGGUUCCUCCGUUGCCGUCAGUUCCCAUUCCUCCGUCGCCGUCACUUCCUUUCCUCUCUCGCCGCUGGUCUUGUAGCAGAAGAUAUGUUUUAUUUAAUUGAAUGUGAGGGUGCCUUGAUGAAGAUAUUUAUGCUCGUGAUAGAAUAGAAGUGUUUUUAUUUCUGAAAUCUCACUCUUUUGAUGGAUUGUUUAACACCUCAAAGCUCAGAUAUAGUUGUUCAAUUCUAGAUUCAAGCUUCUUUAAGCUUUUCUGUUACUGGAACAAUGAACAGAGUUUUUCAAAAUACAUGUAUUUGUAUCACUAUAUGUAAUCAUUGGAAAAAAUUAGGGGUUGAUUGUUGA